CAUUGCCCAUGGGCCCAGGAGCCCUAUUUAAGCUCAGGCUCAGCACUUCAGCUCUUUUAGACCUUGCUGGAGGUGCAUGUGCUUCUUGUCCUGUUACUUGGUGUUACUGGAUAGCUUGCAUAGGGGUUCUGACUUGAUGACCCUGUGCCACGUGCUAAACACUGCCAGGCCUGCUUUGUGGUUGCCCUCAACUCUAGGUUUGGUUUCUCCUGGGGACUAAUCUUAUUCAUAGGUGUUUUGGGAGCAGGAAUGAGAUAUGUGUUCAUUAAAUGCCUACCUGCAGAAGAAAAUCGAAGACUGCCAUCUUGGACCACUCAUGGUGAUGGAUUUCAGUGCAGCCCCACUCAUCUUUGGGAACUUUACCAUUCUGCCAGCAUUUCCGCUUCAGUAGUUGCUGAUAUUUUCCCCAGGCAACGUGCUCCAUGGCACCUUCUUCAGAGGCAACCUGGAUUGAUGUCAG
Molecule: long non-coding RNA, 460 nt
Organism: Tympanuchus pallidicinctus (lesser prairie-chicken)
Lineage: Eukaryota; Metazoa; Chordata; Aves; Galliformes; Phasianidae
Exons: 3
Source: RefSeq, a predicted model, not a curated record